This 450-nucleotide ribosomal RNA is filed under the name uncultured bacterium. Its description in RNAcentral is "partial 16S ribosomal RNA". It matches the Rfam family "Bacterial small subunit ribosomal RNA", at positions 354 to 796 of the family's 1533-position model. The record is from RNAcentral.
GUGGGGAAUCUUGGACAAUGGGGGGAACCCUGAUCCAGCCAUGCCGCGUGGGUGAAGAAGGCCUUCGGGUUGUAAAGCCCUUUAGUUGGGGAGGAAAGGUUGCUGGCUAAUACCUGGCGACUGUGACGUUACCCAAAGAAUAAGCACCGGCUAACUCCGUGCCAGCAGCCGCGGUAAUACGGAGGGUGCGAGCGUUGUCCGGAUUUAUUGGGUUUAAAGGGUGCGUAGGCUGGAAGGUCAGUCAGCGGUGAAAAGCUGUCGCUUAACGAUAGUCUUGCCGCAGAUACUUCCUUUCUUGGAUGAGGAGGAGGCCACUGGAACGGAUGGUGUAGCGGUGAAAUGCAUAGAUAUCAUCCAGAACACCGAUUGCGAAGGCAGGUGGCUGUACCUUAAUCGACGCUGAUGCACGAAAGCAUGGGGAGCAAACAGGAUUAGAUACCCCAGUAGUCC